This 247-nucleotide ribosomal RNA is filed under the name uncultured bacterium. RNAcentral's name for it is "partial 16S ribosomal RNA". It matches the Rfam family "Bacterial small subunit ribosomal RNA", at positions 110 to 353 of the family's 1533-position model. The record is from RNAcentral.
GUAACGCGUGAGCAACCUGCCUUUCAGUGGGGGACAACAUUUGGAAACGAAUGCUAAUACCGCAUAAGACCACAGUGUCGCAUGGCACAGGGGUCAAAGGAUUUAUCCGCUGAAAGAUGGGCUCGCGUCCGAUUAGCUAGAUGGUGAGGUAACGGCCCACCAUGGCGACGAUCGGUAGCCAGACUGAGAGGUUGAACGGCCACAUUGGGACUGAGACACGGCCCAGACUCCUACGGGAGGCAGCAUG